Molecule: ribosomal RNA, 676 nt
Filed under: uncultured bacterium
Lineage: Bacteria
Description: bacterial SSU rRNA
Rfam family: Bacterial small subunit ribosomal RNA
Source: RNAcentral
GAGUUUGAUCCUGGCUCAGGACGAACGCUGGCGGCGUGCUUAACACAUGCAAGUCGAACGGAGCGAAAUGGAAGCUUGCUUCUAUGGAGCUUAGUGGCGAACGGGUGAGUAACGCGUAAUCAACCUGCCCUUCAGAGGGGGACAACAGUUGGAAACGACUGCUAAUACCGCAUACGAUUCAACUUCGGCAUCGAGGAUGAAUGAAAGGUGGCCUCUAUUUAUAAGCUAUCGCUGAAGGAGGGGAUUGCGUCUGAUUAGCUAGUUGGAGGGGUAACGGCCCACCAAGGCGAUGAUCAGUAGCCGGUCUGAGAGGAUGAACGGCCACAUUGGGACUGAGACACGGCCCAGACUCCUACGGGAGGCAGCAGAGGGGAAUCUUCCGCAAUGGACGAAAGUCUGACGGAGCAACGCCGCGUGAGUGAUGACGGCCUUCGGGUUGUAAAGCUCUGUUAAUCGGGACGAAAGGUCCUCUUGUGAAUAAUUAGAGGAAUUGACGGUACCGGAAUAGAAAGCCACGGCUAACUACGUGCCAGCAGCCGCGGUAAUACGUAGGUGGCAAGCGUUGUCCGGAAUUAUUGGGCGUAAAGCGCGCGCAGGCGGAUUAGUCAGUCUGUCUUAAAAGUUCGGGGCUUAACCCCGUGAUGGGAUGGAAACUGCUAAUCUAGAGUAUCGGAGA